Pezoporus occidentalis (night parrot) is the source of this 1501-nucleotide long non-coding RNA. RefSeq lists it as uncharacterized. Lineage: Eukaryota; Metazoa; Chordata; Aves; Psittaciformes; Psittacidae. The record is from RefSeq and is a predicted model, not a curated record. The transcript is spliced from 3 exons.
GUUUAUUGGCUGUAUGAGCUACAACGAAAUUAAGGAGAGCAGCCUCUACAAGUCUGUGUUACUUUGUUAGGAUUAACAAGGCUGUGUGUAUUUAGGGUCUCUAUGCUUCUGACUUACAGUCAGAAAAACUGACUGUCACAAAAUGUUCAUUCUGGUUGCACAAGACCUUUCACCCAAAAACUCCCAGUUGCUUAAAAGGCAAUUACUGGGAGCAAUGGCAAGAUCUAGCCUAAGGGCUUCUGCAUUUGCCCCCUGCUAAUGAUCUGCUGGAAUUCUGUCAUCUCACAAAACAUGAGCACAGCAGCAGUAAUUCUAAUGUCUGUCGUUGCUUCCUUACUUAUAUUAACAGUUUAUUUCAUGGCUGACUUCCCGUCUUGCUAAGUUAGUUUCUCCAUGUCAGGCUGUACUAAUGAACAGAGAACAGAUUCUGACCUCUCUCUUUUCCAGGGGAAAAAAACACAAGCUCAGCUGAAGUCAAUGGAGCUGCUCUGCUUUGACCCGGGUGUAAGGAGGAUAAGCAGGAUCCUCAUCUGCCUUCAGCAAUGCAGUUCCUGUCAUAGCGCUGAAGCAAUAAGACAUGACAGGCAAUGCCCCAUGCCUCCAAACUGAGAGGCUGUAAUGACAUCCCGAGGACUUCCCUUAAGGUGGAGGAUAGGCUGGACCACCUUUAGAGAGACACUGGGGAAGGAGACUCUUAUCAAAGCUGGUGACAACUUUUAGCAUGCAUAGGUGCCAAGUGUGUUGAUCAUAUUAGAAGAGGAUAAACGCAACCUGAUGAGGACAACUGCGAUGUUCUGCGUGUUGGUGAGAAUAAUCAAUUGCAAAGAAAUGGAGUGCAGAGCCAGCAGAGCGAGCAGCAGUUGGCUGAAAAGGUAUUGGGGUUGGAGUGGACUGCAUGCUCAAGGCCAGCAGUGUCAUGCAGCUCUUCAUAACAAAAAAAAAAAGAGUAAAAAAAGGCAAACAUCAUACUGGGAUAGAUCAGUGAAAGUGUGGUCUGUAAGAUGCGAGAUCAUCCUACUAUUCCACUCAGCAUGAGUAAGGCCACAGCUGGGGUGCUAUAUUGAUCCUGGGCUAUGCACUUGAGGACAGUUGUGGUCAGCUUAAGAGGUGAAGAACAGGGAUGACUCAGAAAGAGAAGUGACAAUGAAAAGUUGAAGGAACAUCUGAAGAAAUGACUGACAGAGGCAGUGACAAAUCUGUAAAUAGCUGCUAUGAAGAUGAAAAGAGACUAAUCUUAAUGACAAUUGCAGGAAGGGUAGUAGUGGUGGGCCUAAAUAGUAGAAACAUAUAGCUUGGAAAUUAGAAGAAUUGCCAAUAGGAAUAAUGGAGGCACAAUGGAAUGAGCUGUCUGAGGUUGCCCCACUAGAUGUAUUUAAGAACAGGUUAAAACAUGUUAGUUAAACAUUGCAUGGGUUUGCCUCCAAGCAAGACUGGGAGACCUCCUAAAAGGUCACUUGUUCCUAUUUUUUUAAGCUUCUGUUCUUGGCUGUAAUUGUACUGU